CAUGCUUUAAUUUGAUUCUUGAAGCGACUCUAAUGCCAUAACCACCUCAUCCAUGUCUGGUCUCAACCUCGGAUCGUCAUUUAAGCAAUGAAGUGCAAGGUUAGCCAACUUUCGAGCCCUUUUAAGAAAGUGUUGGCCGCCAAGACGUGUGUCUAAAACUCGGAGAACUCUGCGUCUGUUUGUCAGGUAAGGCUUUGCCCACUCCACCAGGUUGUGUUGCUCAGGUGGCGCAGUCCUCUCUAUAGCUCGUCUGCCGGAUAAAAUUUCUAGAAGUACAACUCCAAAGCUGAAUACAUCGCACUUUGCAUUUAAACGGCCUGUUCAGUAUCAAAAUUUAAUAAGUGACCAGAAUCCGUAUACAAUACAACAAUAUUGUUGUAUUAUACUGCAUAAACCAUAGGCAAAGUACAGCCACAACCCAAUAAGUUGGUCUAACAACCACAUAAUUAGUAUUAGUAUGGAGAGAAUAUUGUGAAGGGUUAAUUACAUUUGCAGUGCUUAAACUUUUUAAUGUUUUUAUUUUGAUGUCUGAAUGAAAAAAAAUUUCUAAUUGAAUGUCUAAAUUAUUCAAAAGUAGCAAUCAAGUGCAUUUGGUCCAAAUUAGUUUAUCGGAAAAUUAAAAUAAACCAUCUUAUUACUUAAUAAAUGAUAUCAAUAAAAAACAUCCAAUCCAUCUCUUCCUCCCCCCCCCCCCCCCCCCCUCCUUUUUCACUGUUUUAUAUCUCUUUUAAAACAAGUCCAAAAAAUUUAUUUCAGUUUUCUUUCAAUUUCAAAAUAAUAUAAGAGAGAGAGAGUAACAAGAAAAAGGAAUACGAUAAUCUAAAAAAAAUAAACAAAGCAAAAUGAUGGGGUAAUAGUUCAUUUUGAUUUUCCAGUAAGAUUCCAACUAAACGCACUUAAUUGUGCAAAAAUUAUUAAAUCAUAUACUAUCUCCAUUCUAUAGUAUUUGUCACAUUUUUAAAAAAUAAUUUGUUUCAAAAUAUUUGUCACAUUUGUGAUUUCAAGGUGUUAUAAAUACUUUUUUCCAUGUGUACCCUUUGUAUAUGACCAAUAAUUAUUACUUCAAUUUAAAAUUUUUUUAGAGAAUUAGUAUUAAAUUAAGAAUAAUUCAGUCAAUUUACGUAAUAAUUUAUUAUAAUUUCGACAAAUUUAAUAAUUUUCUCAAGGGAUGUAAAACUCAAAAUGUAACAAGUAUUAUGGAAUAAAGAUAGUACUUAAUUCAAAAUUUUUUCCUAUUUAGCCAUCAAAAUAAAAAAAUUUAAUAACUACAUAUAUUAUUAACCCUAUUUUGAACUAUGCUAUGAGACUUUGAGGUUUGAGUGACACAAAUAUAUUAUUAAAAAUAAAGUUUCUCUGAUCAGGUUAGAUUUGAUUGUUCUCCAGUUAUCCUCACAAACUAACGGUGAAGGAAUGGUGGCAAUUUUGCUAAUACGGUGAGAGUUUUGAUACAAGGCCGACUAUCCUCUACACUAUAACCUGCAAAUUUUAGACAAAUUUUGACCCUUCAUUAACCUUCAUUAAACAAAAAAAAAAAAAAAAAAAAGGAUUCACUUGCAAAUGUUUCAAUGGUAAUGCCUCAAAAGAAUCAAUGAUAUGCAGUUUUUACUCGCAAUAUCAUCUCUCCAUCAAUGGUAGCUUUCAUUCAUGCUCGUUCUCUCUAACACCCCUUUACCUUGCACAGUCUGAAAUGAUAUUUCGUAGGAUUAGGGAUAUGUUUAACACUUCUAAUGCUCAAAUGAGUGAAGAAUAAAUUGCUCAAACAUAACCUUUGGAGUGCAUAGAGAAAAUGGUAAAAAUAAGAAAAUAGAAGCAUACUAAUCAAGCUAAUAUCAAUCAGAGUUACGAGAAGCCACAUAUGAAAAUGAUACCUGUGGCUAAACAAAAAAAAAAAAAAAAAAAGGAUUCACUUGCAAAUGUUUCAAUGGUGAUGCCUCAAAAGAAUCAAUGAUAUGCAGUUUUUACUCGCAAUAUCAUCUCUCCAUCAAUGGUAGCUUUCAUUCAUGCUCGUUCUCUCUAACACCCCUUUACCUUGCACAGUCUGAAAUGAUAUUUCGUAGGAUUAGGGAUAUGUUUAACACUUCUAAUGCUCAAAUGAGUGAAGAAUAAACUGCUCAAACAUAACCUUUGGAGUGCAUAGAGAAAAUGGUAAAAAUAAGAAAAUAGAAGCAUACUAAUCAAGCUAAUAUCAAUCAGAGUUACGAGAAGCCACAUAUGAAAAUGAUACCUGUGGCCAGAUACUCUGGUGCAGCAAAUCCUUGAGUUCCCAUGACCCUAGUACUGACGUAACUCUUAUCAUCAGUUGGCCCAUCCCUAGCUAAAGCAAAACCAGAAAGCUUUGCGUUGUAGUUCUACAAAUAUGGAGCAAAUGUAGCAGGGCAGGUCAACAAAUGCAGAUACACUCAACUAAUUGUUUGUCCUAAAUUCAAAUAUAUUGUGAAAAAAGUGGUCAGGUAAUGUAGGUAAAUUACAUACUGAAUCAAGCAGUAUAUGAGAAGUCUUAAAGUCCCGAUGAAUGACAUUCACAUCAGCACUAUGAAGAAUUGCAAGCCCCUUUGCAGCACCAAGAGCAAUUUUCAUGCGAAUGUCCCAAGAAAGUAGCUCAGACCCCCCUAUAUCAAGAUUCGCUUAACGUUUGCGCAUGUUUAUUCAUAAAUUAAAAGCAGUAGUCAAGUUAAUACAAAUAAGAUAACAUGGAACUCACUCCUGAAUAAAUGCUUUUCCAUGCUGCCACAAGACAUAAACUCACAAACCAAAAGCCGAUGGUCAUCCUCAAAGCAGUAACCAAUCAACUUAACCAGAUUAGGAUGCUGCAAUUUUCCAAGAUAGUUGAUCUCUGCCUUCAUGUCCAAAGAACACUACAAUCAACUAUUUUUAGCUCAUCUCAAUCUUUUAAAAUUUAAACACACUGGGCAUGAAAAGGAGUCUAAAAUAUAAUCAUUUUACUGAUACUAAAUAUUAUGAACUUUUUAGAUAUCCUAAAUUCCUAAUGGGCAAUGGCUAUUUCUAUGGAUUGAGCACUCCUAUCGGUGUAAAGAUAGCAAGGCACUUAAGGUACAUGAGAAGAACUGGAUUCACAUUUCAUAUACAUCUUGUAUUGCCAAGUUCUCCCUAAUUGAGAGAGAAGUAUGAACUCCCUAUAAUUAAGGACCUCAACCGAAUAAAUAGGCCCCUGAAUUGAAAAGAAAAAUUUAUCAUGAAUAGCUGGAAAAAACAAUUAAGAAAUUGAAACCAUAAAACUGACCAACCAUUCCGCCUGACCAAGGAAGCCUUCAUGGUUAAGCCUCUUCACAGCAAUCACCAUGCCAUCAAUCCGCCCUUUGAAAACUGGCCCAAAACCAUCUUCACCCAGUACACCAUCUGAUCGGAAGUUUCUAGUGGCAAUCUUCAGUUCACUGAAGCUAAAGUUCUUUAAAUUUGGUGACUGCAAUAUCUCAAACUCAAAACCAAGAUUCUUCCCAUCUCUUCUGACAUUUCUUGAAUUCAAUUCUACAAGACAAUAAAUUAAUGAAAUAAAAAUUGUCUAAAAGGAAACUCUAAAAAUAUUAUCCUUCUCAUUGCCUAGUUACUAACUCUCAUACUAGAAUAAUCAAUUUUUGUCAAAUAGGUCCUGAAGAGAAGAAUAUCAAUAUGAUACAUAAUCUCAAAGAAUAUCUUCAUAAUUUAAAUUACAUAAACACACUUUUCCUCAGACACCAAUACUCUAAAUCAUCACAAAAAAUUGACAAAAUUUUCACAAAUUCUGAUUGAAUCCAAGGGAAAUUAUCAAAUAAUCAACUAUAGAAAUACAUACCUUAGAAAUUUAUCUUGAAAUUUACAAAAAGUAACAACACAUCUAAAAAUUUAAAUUUCUUGUCAAGAACAUUAAGUGUAUUCGUGAAAGCCAUAGCAACAGCAAACAUAUAGAGUGAAUAAUACCGAGGGAAAGACAAAAAGAACAGCUCAAGCAUCUUUAGGAUAAAAGUUAAGAAGAAGGCGACUGAUUUCACUCUCAAUCAAGGAAAACCAGUAACAGCUAAUUGUGAAAACACAUAAAAACUUAAACGCUACAACAUAAAAGAAUAAAUGGGUACCUGUGCUACGAGUAUAACACUUGAUUCCGUUGCUAACACAAAGUCCCAUUCAAUCAGACACCUCAUCUGCUCUCCAUAAAAAUUCUAAAACCCAAAAAUUUAAAAAAAAAAAAACAAAGAAAAAGAGCAGUCUUGUUCCAAGAAAUCCCUUUUUCUUUCUUAAGAUUUGGCAGCAAAUAUUAUGACAAGAAAAAGAAAGGUUUAAAAAACUAUUUUGAGCAACUCACUGGAAGGCGGACUUGCGGUUUCAUGAUGAUUAGUUGCCCAAUAACACCACGAAAGAUUCGGUUGGCAAUACUCAGUUCAGGGUUCUUGCUAUCAAACCUUCAAGAAAAAUGAAGUAAAGUUUACUUGGUUUUACUGGCUAUAUUUGUAUUUAAAUAUGGAUAUAAUUAUAUUUUUGGUGUAUAAACGAAAAACGCUGCCAAUCGAGGCGUGCACAGUUUAAAAUCUACAAUUAAAAUUGAAUAUACAAUAGUACGGCUCACUUUUUGCCACACGUGCCAGAUGAUGAGGACAAAAAAAUUUUUAAAAUAUUCAAAUGAGCCAAAUGUGAUGUGAACUUUAUGGGAAUCGUCUUUUAACUUUCAUUUAUUAUUUGGAAACAUUAUUUUUAAGUCCUUGGUUUUACAAACUAUAUGACUUCCCUGCUAUUGAACCACGGAUGGAGUAUCGACGAGCCAUGGUUCGAUUCUUGGGGAACCAACCACUUCCUUUGGGAGGCCCAGAAAUUCAUGAAAUUAUAGAGACGAAGAAGCAGAGGCAGGUGAAAGGCGAAUUUUGUUUGCGUGCAGCGAUGGAAGCUAUUGGUGCUGCUGGCGGUGGUGAUUUGGGAGAGGAUGCUAAUUUUUUUUUUUUCAUUUUAAAUAAUAUUUAUUCCUUUUAUUUAUAUUUAAAAUAAUUUUUGUUUGGGUUUUAGCAUGAGUUUUAGAUUUAUUUUUGUUUCUAUGUUAAUAUUUUUACUGUGGUUGACUUUUGUUGGGUGCCAUUUACAUAUUUUAAAAUUGUUUAUGUAGCUUAUACGAACAUAAUUGAUUAUUUACAAUCUAUUGAUUCCCGCUGCUUAUGCAAAAUGCACAUUUACUUGGACUAAAUGGUUUUAUAAUUCUAUUGUGUAAGCUAUUGUUAAAAAUUUUAAAUCUUCAUAUGCUGUAUAUAUGAUUUAGAGAUUUGUUUCUUUUGCCUAAUCAUAUUCUUUAAAGGUUGUGUUUCAUUUUGUUUAGUAAUUUUGUUAUUCGGUUUCUUCUUCGUAAAAUUUAUUUUUAUUUUCUGUUCUUGUUUUGUAAUUUUGUUUUUUAUCUCUUUGGAUAUUUAUACGAGAUCUGCAGUCCUGUGUCCGUUUUAACGGUUCACAAACAUGAUUAAUCCCCAAUCGCACUCGGACGCAGAGAGGCUGUUCUAAGAGAGUUUGCGAUCGAAUCCAUGAUUUAAGCCAUGAUGAUCAAUCCUGCAAGGGUUCUUUGUCACUGAACUAUCUCAUUCGGAUUUGUUUUGUAAUUUUAUUGUUUCAUGGCAGAAAAAUUUGAUGCAUUCAACUGUUAUAAAAAUUGUAGAUAGAUUUUGAGUAUUUGAGUUUAUUCAUGAGCAGAUUGGUUCCAAUAUCCAUGAACAUUUGAUGACAGAAGCCAAAAUUGAAGUAAGAAAAGCAUAUAUCCAUGUCAUACAACCUUUGUCUAGAAACAUUUUUCACUUUCAACAAUCCUUACUAAAUUACAUACCAUUCUGCUGUACAAAAAGGCAGAAAACAAAAACAAAAACAAAAUUUUAAUUCACCGUUUCUUCUCGAAAAAUAAAAUACCUUUUUUUUUUCUUGAAAAAUAUUUGGAAAGAAGUUGUAUCUUAAUUCAAACUUCAUAUUGGUUGAUUUUUUAUCUAAGUUGCAAGAAGUUGUAGGAAAAUAAAUGAAAAAUGCGGAAAACCAAUUUUUCAAAAUUUGUUUUAUGAUGUAUUAAAUACAUACUGUUAACCUCAAAUUGUAAAUUGUAUAAACAGAAUACUGUAAGAAAAUUUUACUGCCUCAACUGAAAGGAAAAUUAUUGCCUAGAACAUCAUUAUAAUACCAAUAAUAACAAAGUGAUAAAUACUACAAGCAAAAUGCAAAGCAGAAACUGUACAUUGCUUCGAUAAACACAUGCUUUAAUUUGAUUCUUGAAGCGACUCUAAUGCCAUAACCACAUCUUCCAUGUCUGGUCUCAACUUCGGUUCAUCAUUUAAGCAAUGAAGUGCAAGGUUAGCCAACUUUCGAGCCCUUUUAAGAAAGUGUUGGCCGCCAAGACGUGUGUCUAAAACUCGGAAAACUGUGCGUUUGUUUGUCAGGUAAGGCUUUGCC
RNAcentral lists this long non-coding RNA (6399 nucleotides) under Jatropha curcas. RNAcentral's name for it is "long non-coding RNA (JCUR_LNC000366)". Lineage: Eukaryota; Viridiplantae; Streptophyta; Magnoliopsida; Malpighiales; Euphorbiaceae. The record is from RNAcentral.